GGGCCCGCACAAGCGGUGGAGUAUGUGGUUUAAUUCGAUGAUACGCGAAGAACCUUACCUGGGCUCUAAUGCGAGUGACCGCUCCUGAAAGGGAGCUUUCCUUCGGGACACGAAGCAAGGUGCUGCAUGGUUGUCGUCAGCUCGUGCCGUGAGGUGUUGGGUUAAGUCCCGCAACGAGCGCAACCCCUAUCUUUAGUUGCCAGCGAUUCGGUCGGGGACUCUAGAGAGACUGCCUGCGCAAGCAGAGAGGAAGGCGGGGACGACGUCAAAUCAUCAUGGCCCUUACGGCCUGGGCUACACACGUGCUACAAUGGCUAGGACAGACGGCCGCAAACCCGCGAGGGGAGCCAAUCCGACAAACCUAGUCGUAGUCCGGAUCGGAGUCUGCAACUCGACUCCGUGAAGUCGGAAUUGCUAG
RNAcentral lists this ribosomal RNA (418 nucleotides) under uncultured bacterium. RNAcentral describes it as "bacterial SSU rRNA". It matches the Rfam family "Bacterial small subunit ribosomal RNA", at positions 917 to 1338 of the family's 1533-position model. The record is from RNAcentral.